AGUAUCUGUGCAGAAGAUGAGUUGCUCACUCAGAGAAGACCUGAUAUUCAAGGAAAAGUCAGCCAAAAACCAGCUACCAGGAGGCAGCCUGAACGUGUCAGGGCCUGGGCACGACACUUGCCUUUCUUGGAGGAGUGAUUUGAAGCCAUAGUGGAAGACUGAGCCUCUAUAAAAAAUGAACGAGGACACUCUUAAUGGACAGAUACAAAACAAGCCCCAGGAGAAAGGUGUAUCAACCAUUUUAAAUCUGCCCUCAAAAGCACAGAACAAAUCAGACAGCAUUUUGCUCACAGAGGAGAGGGUGUAUGAGAACCAAAUUCCAGCUUCAGCACAUGGCCUUGGGUACAGCUACAAGAUGGAGGAAGCUAUUUGACCUGCAUCAGACUUUACGUGAACAAAAGGGUGUUGUUAUGUCCAAAGCCAUCUUGCCAUGCGCAGCCUGAGAAUGGAGCCAAUGACUGAGGGUGGCAGAGCAGAAAGAUGAGAUAAAUGGUACGAGGCUGAUAUGGGAGCAUCCAUCACUGACUACCAGGUUGCUACUCCCAGCUCCUGUCUUCACAUCUGCAUACCAACCAGUAAGAAGAGGAGAAGGAGCAAGGAGAGCACAUAACUUUCCUUUUAAGGACACAACUAGAUGCCAUGUUGUGAGCUGCUCUGUGGAGGGGGACCUGUGGCGAGGAACUGAGGGCAGCCAGCAGGCAACAGCCAGCUGCCAUGUUGUGAGUAGCCCUAUGGAGGGGCCCACAUGGCAAGGAACUGACAUCUUUGGUCAACAGUCAGUGAGGACUUAAGGCUGCCAAUAGCCACAUGAGGGAGCUUGGAAGCAGAUCUUCCCCCAGUGGAGCCUUGAGAUGACUGCAGUCUGGCUGACACCUUGAUUGUUGCCUUCUGGGAGACCUUGAGGUGGGGGACCCAGCUAAGCUGCCCAGCUUCCUGACCGGCAGAAACUGGGAGACAAUAAAUGUUGGUGUUUUAAGCCACUACAUUUUGGGAUAAUUUGUUACACAGCAAUAGAUAACUAGUACAGAAGUGCUAAAGAUCAAACACCCCUCUCCCUCUCUCUCCACGGUCUCCCUCUGAUGCCGAGCCGAGGCUGGACUGUACUGCUGCCAUCUCGGCUCACUGCAACCUCCCUGUCUGAUUCUCCUGCCUCAGCCUGCCGAGUGCCUGGGAUUGCAGGUGCGCACCGCCACGCGUGACUUGUUUUCGUAUUUUUUUGGUGGAGACGGGGUUUCGCUGUGUUGGCCGGGCUGGUCUCCAGCUCCUAACCGCGAGUGAUCUGCCAGCCUCGGCCUCCCGAGGUGCCAGAAUUGCAGACGGAGUCUCGCUCACUCAGUGCUCAAUGUUGCCCAGGCUGGAGUGCAGUGGCGGGAUCUCGGCUCACUACAACCUCCACCUCCCAGCCGCCUGCCUUGGCCUCCCAGAGUGCAGAGAUUGCAGCCUCUGCCCGGCCGCCACCCCGUCUGGGAAGUGAGGAGCGUCUAUGCCUGGCCGCCCAUCGUCUGAGAUGUGGGGAGCGCCUCUGCUCCGCCGCCCCGUCUGGGAUGUGAGGAGUGCCUCUGCCCGGCCGCGACCCCAUCUGGGAGAUCUCAACUGUUGAGAGGAAACCAUACUGUCUGUCAUUAGCAAUUUUGCAAAAACAGCCUGUGAAUGCAUAUUAGCAUCACCUGAUUACUGAGCGCCCAGAGGCUCCGUCUCUCUGUACCCGGAUACAACACAGGAGGGAAAUGAUGUGGUUCCUGUCCUCAGAAACUCCUGGUCAAAGAAGGUUCCUGUGUCAGGAAGAAAAAACGCCAUUAGUAGAAUUUCUGAGCUGGAAAUGAGCAGGCUAGAGGUGGAGAGGAGCUGCAGCUACAGUCUGCACUAGAACCACCCCGUUGCCCCAUCUGGUUUCCAUGGAGUCAGACUUCUGAUGAGGAAGCUGGUCCUCCGGAAUGUGCAGAACGCAAGACACCCAGGCAAAGUGUCUUUAAGGGUAGGGACUGUUCAUUAUGGCUAUGGGAUGACCACAGAUUUCUUUCGUGUUAUCUGUUAGAAUGCUUUUGAUUGCUAGUAGC
Molecule: long non-coding RNA, 2057 nt
Organism: Homo sapiens (human)
Lineage: Eukaryota; Metazoa; Chordata; Mammalia; Primates; Hominidae
Exons: 9
Source: RefSeq, a predicted model, not a curated record